CCUACGGGUGGCAGCAGUGAGGAAUAUUGGUCAAUGGGCGCGAGCCUGAACCAGCCAAGUAGCGUGAAUGAUGACUGCCCUACGGUUUGUAAACUUCUUUUAUAAAGGAAUAAAGUGAGGCACGUGUGCCUUUUCGCAUUUACGUUAUGAAUAAGGAUCGGCUAACUCCGUUCCAGCCGCCGCGGUAAUACGGAGGAGCCGAGCGUUAUCCGGAUUUAUUGGGUUAAACGGGUUCGGAGGCGGAUCGUUAAGUCAGUGGUCAAAUUGAGGGGCGAACCCCCUUCCCGCCAUUGAAACUGGCGUUCUUGAGUGGAAGAGAGGUAUGCGGAAUGCGUGGUGUAGCGGUGAAAUGCAUAGAGAUCACGCAGAACCCCGAUGGCGAAGGCAGCAUGCCGGCUUCCGACUGACGCUGAGGCGCGAAAGCGUGGGGAUCGAACAGGAUUAGAUACCCGGGUAGUC
Molecule: ribosomal RNA, 459 nt
Filed under: uncultured bacterium
Lineage: Bacteria
Description: partial 16S ribosomal RNA
Rfam family: Bacterial small subunit ribosomal RNA
Source: RNAcentral